This 377-nucleotide ribosomal RNA is filed under the name uncultured bacterium. Its description in RNAcentral is "bacterial SSU rRNA". It matches the Rfam family "Bacterial small subunit ribosomal RNA", at positions 28 to 417 of the family's 1533-position model. The record is from RNAcentral.
GAUUAACGCUGGCGGCGUGCCUAACACAUGCAAGUCGAACGAGGUAGCAAUACCUAGUGGCAGACGGGUGAGUAACGCGUGGUCAACCUACCGUUGAGUGGGGGAUAACUAGCCGAAAGGUUAGCUAAUACCGGAUACGACUCCGCGGUGCAUGCUGUGGGGUGGAAAGCCUUGUGCGGCUGGAGAUGGGCCCGCGGCCUAUCAGCUUGUUGGUGGGGUGAUGGCCUACCAAGGCGACGACGGGUAGCCGGCCUGAGAGGGCGACCGGCCACACUGGGACUGAGACACGGCCCAGACUCCUACGGGAGGCAGCAGUGGGAAUCUUGCGCAAUGGGCGAAAGCCUGACGCAGCGACGCCGCGUGAGGGAUGACGGCCU